AUUGAACGCUGGCGGCAGGCCUAACACAUGCAAGUCGAACGGUAACAGGAAGAAGCUUGCUUCUUUGCUGACGAGUGGCGGACGGGUGAGUAAUGUCUGGGAAACUGCCUGAUGGAGGGGGAUAACUACUGGAAACGGUAGCUAAUACCGCAUAACGUCGCAAGACCAAAGAGGGGGACCUUCGGGCCUCUUGCCAUCGGAUGUGCCCAGAUGGGAUUAGCUAGUAGGUGGGGUAACGGCUCACCUAGGCGACGAUCCCUAGCUGGUCUGAGAGGAUGACCCGCCACACUGGAACUGAGAUACGGUCCAGACUCCUACGGGAGGCAGCAGUGGGGAAUAUUGCACAAUGGGCGCAAGCCUGAUGCAGCCAUGCCGCGUGUAUGAAGAAGGCCUUCGGGUUGUAAAGUACUUUCAGCGGGGAGGAAGGGAGUAAAGUUAAUACCUUUGCUCAUUGACGUUACCCGCAGAAGAAGCACCGGCUAACUCCGUG
This 490-nucleotide ribosomal RNA is filed under the name uncultured bacterium. Its description in RNAcentral is "partial 16S ribosomal RNA". It matches the Rfam family "Bacterial small subunit ribosomal RNA", at positions 30 to 507 of the family's 1533-position model. The record is from RNAcentral.